This 483-nucleotide ribosomal RNA is filed under the name uncultured bacterium. Its description in RNAcentral is "bacterial SSU rRNA". It matches the Rfam family "Bacterial small subunit ribosomal RNA", at positions 28 to 511 of the family's 1533-position model. The record is from RNAcentral.
GAUGAACGCUGGCGGCGUGCCUAACACAUGCAAGUCGAACGGAGUACCCGCAAAUGAGGCUUCGGCCAAAUGAGCGGAAUACUUAGUGGCGGACGGGUGAGUAACGCGUGAGUAACCUGCCGGGGAGAGUGGAAUAACACAUCGAAAGGUGUGCUAAUACCGCAUAUUGCAUAGCAGUCACAUGGCUGAUAUGUGAAAGAUUUAUCGCUCCCUGAUGGACUCGCGUCUGAUUAGCUGGUUGGUAGGGUAGAGGCCUACCAAGGCGACGAUCAGUAGCCGGACUGAGAGGUUGAACGGCCACAUUGGGACUGAGACACGGCCCAGACUCCUACGGGAGGCAGCAGUGGGGAAUAUUGCGCAAUGGGGGCAACCCUGACGCAGCAACGCCGCGUGAAGGAAGAAGGUCUUCGGAUUGUAAACUUUUGUCUUUGGUGAAGAUAGUGACGGUAGCCAAGGAGGAAGCCACGGCUAACUACGUGCCAG